Molecule: ribosomal RNA, 273 nt
Filed under: uncultured soil bacterium
Lineage: Bacteria
Description: partial 16S ribosomal RNA
Rfam family: Bacterial small subunit ribosomal RNA
Source: RNAcentral
AGAAUCAACGCUGGCGGCGUGCCUCAGACAUGCAAGUCGAACGCGAAAGUCCCCUUCGGGGGACAAGUAGAGUGGCGCACGGGUGAGUAACACGUAGGUAAUCUACCUUUGGAUGGGGAAUAACAACCGGAAACGGUUGCUAAUACCGCAUAAUGCAGCGGCACCUAAUGGUGACAGUUGUUAAAGCGGGGGAUCGAAAGACCUCGCGUCUGAAGAGGAGCCUGCGGCGGAUUAGCUAGUUGGUAAGGUAAUGGCUUACCAAGGCGACGAUCC